UUGGAUCCUCUGCCCCACUCUCUCUGCCCCUCCCCCGCUUGCACUCUCCCCCCCCCUGAAAAAAAGGAUUAAAAAAAAAGAAUUAAAAAUAUUCACUUAACCCACUGUUGUGUCGGGUCUCUACUGCAGCAGCUGAACCUGUACGUAACCUGAUAACGGAGGGAGUCCAUGUAUCGGUUCUCUUUUGCCACAACAGUGCUAAUAAACCAUCCUCAAAACUCAGGAGGCUGGGAAACCGAUUCUGACAGGUUGGCCGUCACCGCUGUACUCUAAUGCCCUGCUGGCUGGAUCGGCGCGGCUUCUCGCUGCUGGUCUUGUCUCCCUGUGUUGCUGCCGGGACCCAGGCUGAAGAGGCAGCGGCUACCCAAGAGAAGCGUAAGAGAGCAAGCACUCUCGCUCUCUUCGAGCCUAAGCACGGAGCCUCUUCGAGCCUCUUCGAGCCUAAGCACGGAACCGGCCCCAAGCCCCAAGCCAGGGGAUGGGAAAGUACACUGUGGCCACGAGGAGACACAGCAGGAGCGGGGAUGCGGGGAGGGCCCAUAAUUCUCUCUCCUAGAAUGUGACAGAGUCCUGGGUUAGAGGCUACGACACGGUGGCUCUGCUCUUCUAGGCGUCACCUACGAAUGGCGCGGAGUGAAAGAUAGCGUCCAUCCAUGUGAAGACUCAACCGCAGGUCUCUAUUAGGUCAGGAGCCCUGACAAGACAAGAAUCACAUCUCCUUCCUCUUCCCAACGCCUAGUGCCAGACCUUGCCCUCAGGGCUGACUCAGGGAUAUUACUGGGUGACUCUGAGACCAUUUCUUCACUCUCUGCAUAGGAUUCCUUAUGUAAUACAGACUGACCUCCUACAGGUCAGCACACAGUGCUAUGUGUUUGCCCCCAAAGCUGCAAAGGGACCGUGCCAUUGGGAACUGAGAUGUGUACCUAGGUCUGUCUACACCGCAUCCUGGAUCCACUGCCUCCCAGAGGGACCUCCAGAAGAAAGGACUUCUACAAGUUAAAUAUCGCAGACUUCACACUCCAAAGGAGAACCGCUUGAAGAGAGCCAUGGUUGACGCUAAGGAAUGCCACCAUCACCACAGAAUUCCAGGCACCGGGCAUGUGGGUAGAAAGUAUAUUUUAGGGCAGUGACUCCUGGUAAGUCGUUUCCUCCAGACCCUAAAACGGACUAUUCAAUGUCAAGCUGUCUCAGGCUCAGGCUGAUAACAGGGCAGCCAUAGGGGACCUAGUGGGAGCUGCGUUGUCACGGUCCAAGUCUGUACACACCGCUUGUAUAACCUGCCCAAGUUCGCAAAGACAAUAUAUCAGUCGCCGCUCUUUAUGCUCCAAGUGAAAGAAAUCCAACUAAAAUAUGCUUAAACCAAAAAUGUCAUACAGUGUAUCGGCUCACAUAACCGGGAAGCCUAAGAUCUUAAAGCUGGCCGCACCUAGCGCUCAAACAUCAUUCUCUCCCCAACUGUCCCGCAGUUGUGCUUUCCUCCAUGAUGGCUUCAGGCUUCAGGAUGCAUGCCCCAAGACUGCAAAGAUAGUCGUUAGUAACUCCAACUCUCCACUGAGGUUGAGCAAGCCUCAUAAAGGAAAGCCAGUCUUCAAAAAGCCUCUGAUUGGUCUGCUUGGACCCUGUAUCUGGUAGGAGGAGACCCUGAUUGGCCAGCCAUGGCCACGUGCACCUGCAAGGUGGGCCUUAAACCGGUACUUCAGUCUCUGCUAGGGCACAGGAACUGAAUAGAAAGUCAAGAGAGGGGUUGUCUCACGGCAAGUUGAGGGGGUGAGGUGACAAAUGGAAGACCAGACAUUGAGGCUAGACUGAACUAACCCUAAGCCUAAACUUUGAACAGGCUUUCACACGUUCAUAGAUGCUAUUGUGAGUAAAACACAAAUUCACUUAAGAGCAGGAGUGCCCUCAUGGUAACUUUUGGUCUUUCUGUAUUUUUUGUCCCAACUAAUAGAUAUCGAAAGGAUACCUACGAUCACGAGCAGGUCCAAAGACCAUUUAUUUUUUAAUAUUAGAAAGGGAUUCUUAACUGCAGAUUAAGAGAGAGAGUAAAGAAAGCAAGAAGAGAAGGGAGCCAGGAAAAGCCCAGCCCAGGAAGCAGCGAAGGAAGGUUCCAGGACAGCAGCGUAUGACAGGUCAAGGAGGUAGCCGAGGGAAAUGGCACUAACUGUCAUGCCAGAGCACUGGAGCGGAGUGGAGGAGUGAUCGUGGCGGGCAGCACAGAAAGAGAAGGAGAAGAAAUUAAACCCCGGGGGGUCAGGGGACAGAAACGAGUGCCAUCGGACUGCAUGAGUAAGCUCUGCGGUGAACAAUACUUACCUGGUCACAAUUCUGCAACCACUAUCAAUCGUGGGGCAAGAGUGACAAGAAUAACCCCAAGAAUGGAAUGGGUGGGGGGUGUUAAAGACCUAACUCCUUGCCUGUGUUGCCAGGAAGUCCACAGACAGUGUCUAAAAUGGAGGAAUCAGAGCACCUGGGUGGCUCAGUCGGUUGAGCGUCUGACGUCAGCUCAGGUCACGAUUGCACGGUUCGUGGGUUCGAGCCCCGCAUCGGGCUUUGUGUUGACAGUGCAGAGCCUGCUUGGGAUUCUCUCUCUCCUCCUCUCUCUUUCAAAAAAAAAAAAAAAAUUAAAAAAAAUCUUUUAAAUGGAAGAAUUAAGAGCUAGAAACACAAGAUAGGUGGAGAUAAGCACCCGACGAUCCAGCGAGAGACUACCUGGUGGACUCGUGGCCCAUGAAUGGUGGAAACGUGCGCCAGAGUAAGAUGGAGGGAGGAAGACAAGCCCGUAGACUUUGCAGAGCGGCCGAGAGGCCUAAGAAGUAAGAGAAGACCAGGAGACAGGGGCUCCUGAAAAGAUCGACAAGAGAUUACCAUGCGGGGUUCCCACAGCUUUUGCGGACAGCGGCUGCGCAAAAAUUCAUUGGAAGAACUGAGGAAUGUUGCUGGCUCCAUCUGGGGGAGGGCAUGCUUGUAUCAAGACACUGAUGCUCUUGAUGUGCUAUAAUUAUAACCAGAAACACUAUCCUUUUGCCUAGGAAGCUGGAUUUCCUAGUAAAUUCCUUACUUUCCAAGUUGUUUAAUGCUAAGAUAA
Long non-coding RNA from Felis catus (domestic cat), 3085 nucleotides. RefSeq lists it as uncharacterized. The transcript is spliced from 2 exons. The record is from RefSeq and is a predicted model, not a curated record. Lineage: Eukaryota; Metazoa; Chordata; Mammalia; Carnivora; Felidae.